Molecule: ribosomal RNA, 440 nt
Filed under: uncultured bacterium
Lineage: Bacteria
Description: partial 16S ribosomal RNA
Rfam family: Bacterial small subunit ribosomal RNA
Source: RNAcentral
CCUACGGGAGGCAGCAGUAGGGAAUAUUGCUCAAUGGGGGAAACCCUGAAGCAGCAACGCCGCGUGGAGGAUGAAGGUUUUCGGAUUGUAAACUCCUUUUGUUAGAGAAGAGAAUGACGGUAUCUAACGAAUAAGCACCGGCUAACUCCGUGCCAGCAGCCGCGGUAAUACGGAGGGUGCAAGCGUUACUCGGAAUCACUGGGCGUAAAGAGCGCGGAGGCGGGAUAGCAAGUCAGAUGUGAAAUCCUAGGGCUUAACCAUAGAACUGCAUUUGAAACUGUUAUUCUAGAGUAUGGGAGAGGUAGGUGGAAUUCUUGGUGUAGGGGUCAAAUCCGUAGAGAUCAAGAGGAAUACUCAUUGCGAAGGCGACCUGCUAGAACAUAACUGACGCUGAUGCGCGAAAGCGUGGGGAGCAAACAGGAUUAGAUACCCUAGUAGUC